This 893-nucleotide ribosomal RNA is filed under the name Caulanus thomasi. Its description in RNAcentral is "eukaryotic LSU rRNA". It matches the Rfam family "Eukaryotic large subunit ribosomal RNA", at positions 73 to 614 of the family's 3401-position model. The record is from RNAcentral. Lineage: Eukaryota; Metazoa; Platyhelminthes; Trematoda; Opisthorchiida; Cryptogonimidae.
GAUUCCCUCAGUAACUGCGAGUGAACAGGGAAAAGCCCAGCACCGAAGCCUGUGGCCGUUUGGCUACUAGGCAAUGUGGUGUUUAGGUCGUUCCUUGGGGGCGCUGCCUCACUCCAAGUCCAGCAAUGAGUACGGUAAUAUUGACUUGGCCCAGAGAGGGUGAAAGGCCCGUGGGAGUGAGGUCGCAGAAAUGUCAGUGCCUUCCUGGAUAGACCUUGGAGUCGGGUUGUUUGUGAAUGCAGCCCAAAGUGGGUGGUAAACUCCAUCCAAGGCUAAAUACUAACACGAGUCCGAUAGCGAACAAGUACCGUGAGGGAAAGUUGAAAAGUACUUUGAAGAGAGAGUAAACAGUGCGUGAAACCGCUCAGAGGUAAACGGGUGGAGUUGAACUGUGAUCUCUGUGGAUUUAGCUGGUGAGUAUGGUUUGAGCUUGGUCAAAUUGGUUGUAUUCUGGAAUCUGCUUAGCCGCAGGUCCUUGCCUUCGGGUUGGGAUGCGCGAGGCACUCAUCAGGUGUUGCGCGUUUCAGGUUUUUCGUGCCAGCUCGCCAGUGCACUUUCGCAGAGUGUUCACCACGACCGGCAUUGCUGUCCGGCUGUUGUGGUUAAACCGGCCUUUCUUUGUCCUUGCGGCAUUGAAUUGUCGGGAUGGCAGGUAGCUCAAUUGCUGGGCCUGUGGUUCGCUGCAGGUUUUCGGCUCUCGGGUGUUAUCUAGCUGACCGCAUCGGUUCUGUGCAGUAUGUCGGAGACGGCGGCUUGUGGUACAUGCGUGCGUACUAGCUUGUUACCGGCUUCGGGUUUGGUUAUUAUGUUGCUUGUGUUUACAGGCCUGGUGAUAGCCCGUUGUCGUUUGGUUGGCAGUAGCGUGCGUAGUGCUUCCAGGGCCAAUAGUCUGU